UUGAAGAGUUUGAUCAUGGCUCAGAUUGAACGCUGGCGGCAGGCCUAACACAUGCAAGUCGAGCGGUAGCACAGAGAGCUUGCUCUCGGGUGACGAGCGGCGGACGGGUGAGUAAUGUCUGGGAAACUGCCUGAUGGAGGGGGAUAACUACUGGAAACGGUAGCUAAUACCGCAUAAUGUCGCAAGACCAAAGUGGGGGACCUUCGGGCCUCAUGCCAUCAGAUGUGCCCAGAUGGGAUUAGCUAGUAGGUGGGGUAACGGCUCACCUAGGCGACGAUCCCUAGCUGGUCUGAGAGGAUGACCAGCCACACUGGAACUGAGACACGGUCCAGACUCCUACGGGAGGCAGCAGUGGGGAAUAUUGCACAAUGGGCGCAAGCCUGAUGCAGCCAUGCCGCGUGUGUGAAGAAGGCCUUCGGGUUGUAAAGCACUUUCAGCGGGGAGGAAGGCGAUAAGGUUAAUAACCUUGUCGAUUGACGUUACCCGCAGAAGAAGCACCGGCUAACUCCGUGCCAGCAGCCGCGGUAAUACGGAGGGUGCAAGCGUUAAUCGGAAUUACUGGGCGUAAAGCGCACGCAGGCGGUCUGUCAAGUCGGAUGUGAAAUCCCCGGCUCAACCUGGGAACUGCAUUCGAAACUGGCAGGCUAGAGUCUUGUAGAGGGGUAGAAUUCCGUGUAGCGGUGAAAUGCGUAGAGAUCUGGAGGAAUACCGGUGGCGAAGGCGGCCCCCUGGACAAAGACUGACGCUCAGGUGCGAAAGCGUGGGGAGCAAACAGGAUUAGAUACCCUGGUAGUCCACGCCGUAAACGAUGUCGAUUUGGAGGUUGUGCCCUUGAGGCGUGGCUUCCGGAGCUAACGCGUUAAAUCGACCGCCUGGGGAGUACGGCCGCAAGGUUAAAACUCAAAUGAAUUGACGGGGGCCCGCACAAGCGGUGGAGCAUGUGGUUUAAUUCGAUGCAACGCGAAGAACCUUACCUGGUCUUGACAUCCACAGAACUUUCCAGAGAUGGAUUGGUGCCUUCGGGAACUGUGAGACAGGUGCUGCAUGGCUGUCGUCAGCUCGUGUUGUGAAAUGUUGGGUUAAGUCCCGCAACGAGCGCAACCCUUAUCCUUUGUUGCCAGCGGUUAGGCCGGGAACUCAAAGGAGACUGCCAGUGAUAAACUGGAGGAAGGUGGGGAUGACGUCAAGUCAUCAUGGCCCUUACGACCAGGGCUACACACGUGCUACAAUGGCAUAUACAAAGAGAAGCGACCUCGCGAGAGCAAGCGGACCUCAUAAAGUAUGUCGUAGUCCGGAUUGGAGUCUGCAACUCGACUCCAUGAAGUCGGAAUCGCUAGUAAUCGUAGAUCAGAAUGCUACGGUGAAUACGUUCCCGGGCCUUGUACACACCGCCCGUCACACCAUGGGAGUGGGUUGCAAAAGAAGUAGGUAGCUUAACCUUCGGGAGGGCGCUUACCACUUUGUGAUUCAUGACUGGGGUGAAGUCGUAACAAGGUAACCGUAGGGGAACCUGCGGUUGGAUCACCUCCUU
This 1531-nucleotide ribosomal RNA is filed under the name Klebsiella pneumoniae. RNAcentral describes it as "bacterial SSU rRNA". It matches the Rfam family "Bacterial small subunit ribosomal RNA". The record is from RNAcentral. Lineage: Bacteria; Pseudomonadati; Pseudomonadota; Gammaproteobacteria; Enterobacterales; Enterobacteriaceae.